GAACAUGGUGUACAGGCUAAAUAAAGCUG
RNAcentral lists this small RNA (29 nucleotides) under Bombyx mori (domestic silkworm). RNAcentral describes it as "ovarian small RNA-15126". The record is from RNAcentral. Lineage: Eukaryota; Metazoa; Arthropoda; Insecta; Lepidoptera; Bombycidae.